CUACGGAGGGUGCAAGCGUUACUCGGAAUCACUGGGCGUACAGCGCGCGCAGGCGGCUAUUUAAGUUGGAUGUGAAAGCCUACGGCUCAACCGUAGAACUGCAUCCAAAACUAUUUAGCUAGAGUGUGGGAGAGGAAGAUGGAAUUAGUUGUGUAGGGGUAAAAUCCGUAGAGAUAACUAGGAAUACCAAAAGCGAAGGCAAUCUUCUGGAACACUACUGACGCUGAGGCGCGAAAGCGUGGGGAGCAAACGGGAUUAGAAACCCUAGUAGUCC
Molecule: ribosomal RNA, 274 nt
Filed under: uncultured bacterium
Lineage: Bacteria
Description: partial 16S ribosomal RNA
Rfam family: Bacterial small subunit ribosomal RNA
Source: RNAcentral